UGGGGAAUAUUGGACAAUGGGGGGAACCCUGAUCCAGCAAUACCGCGUGUGUGAAGAAGGCCUGCGGGUUGUAAAGCACUUUCAGUAGGGAAGAAAGGUUGUUGGUUAAUAGCUGACAGAUUUGACGUUACCUACAGAAGAAGCACCGGCUAACUCCGUGCCAGCAGCCGCGGUAAUACGGAGGGUGCAAGCGUUAAUCGGAAUUACUGGGCGUAAAGCGCGCGUAGGCGGCUUGAUCAGUCAGAUGUGAAAUCCCCGGGCUUAACCUGGGAACUGCACUUGAUACUGUCGGGCUAGAGUAUGUUAGAGGAAAGCGGAAUUCCGGGUGUAGCGGUGAAAUGCGUAGAUAUCCGGAGGAACAUCAGUGGCGAAGGCGGCUUUCUGGAACAAUACUGACGCUGAGGUGCGAAAGCGUGGGGAGCAAACA
Molecule: ribosomal RNA, 427 nt
Filed under: uncultured Granulosicoccus sp.
Lineage: Bacteria; Pseudomonadati; Pseudomonadota; Gammaproteobacteria; Chromatiales; Granulosicoccaceae
Description: bacterial SSU rRNA
Rfam family: Bacterial small subunit ribosomal RNA
Source: RNAcentral